UAGGGAAAGUUUUUCGGUGUAGGAUGAGACUAUAUAGUAUCAGCUAGUUGGUAAGGUAAUGGCUUACCAAGGCUAUGACGCUUAACUGGUCUGAGAGGAUGAUCAGUCACACUGGAACUGAGACACGGUCCAGACUCCUACGGGAGGCAGCAGUAGGGAAUAUUGCGCAAUGGGGGAAACCCUGACGCAGCAACGCCGCGUGGAGGAUGACACUUUUCGGAGCGUAAACUCCUUUUCUUAGGGAAGAAUUCUGACGGUACCUAAGGAAUAAGCACCGGCUAACUCCGUGCCAGCAGCCGCGGUAAUACGGAGGGUGCAAGCGUUACUCGGAAUCACUGGGCGUAAAGGGCGCGUAGGCGGAUUAUCAAGUCUCUUGUGAAAUCUAAUGGCUUAACCAUUAAACUGCUUGGGAAACUGAUAGUCUAGAGUGAGGGAGAGGCAGAUGGAAUUGGUGGUGUAGGGGUAAAAUCCGUAGAUAUCACCAAGAAUACCCAUUGCGAAGGCGAUCUGCUGGAACUCAACUGACGCUAAGGCGCGAAAGCGUGGGGAGCAAACAGGAUUAGAUACCCUGGUAGUCCACGCCCUAAACGAUGUACACUAGUUGUUGGGGUGCUAGUCAUCUCAGUAAUGCAGCUAACGCAUUAAGUGUACCGCCUGGGGAGUACGGUCGCAAGAUUAAAACUCAAAGGAAUAGACGGGGACCCGCACAAGCGGUGGAGCAUGUGGUUUAAUUCGAAGAUACGCGAAGAACCUUACCUGGGCUUGAUAUCCUAAGAACCUUUUAGAGAUAAGAGGGUGCUAGCUUGCUAGAACUUAGAGACAGGUGCUGCACGGCUGUCGUCAGCUCGUGUCGUGAGAUGUUGGGUUAAGUCCCGCAACGAGCGCAACCCACGUAUUUAGUUGCUAACGGUUCGGCCGAGCACUCUAAAUAGACUGCCUUCGUAAGGAGGAGGAAGGUGUGGACGACGUCAAGUCAUCAUGGCCCUUAUGCCCAGGGCGACACACGUGCUACAAUGGCAUAUACAAUGAGACGCAAUACCGCGAGGUGGAGCAAAUCUAUAAAAUAUGUCCCAGUUCGGAUUGUUCUCUGCAACUCGAGAGCAUGAAGCCGGAAUCGCUAGUAAUCGUAGAUCAGCCAUGCUACGGUGAAUACGUUCCCGGGUCUUGUACUCACCGCCCGUCACACCAUGGGAGUUGAUUUCACUCGAAGCCGGAAUACUAAACUAGUUACCGUCCACAGUGGAAUCAGCGACUGGGGUGAAGUCGUAACAAGGUAACCGUAGGAGAACCUGCGGUUGGAUCACCUCCUUUCUA
Molecule: ribosomal RNA, 1314 nt
Filed under: Campylobacter coli
Lineage: Bacteria; Pseudomonadati; Campylobacterota; Epsilonproteobacteria; Campylobacterales; Campylobacteraceae
Also listed under: 1 other name
Description: bacterial SSU rRNA
Rfam family: Bacterial small subunit ribosomal RNA
Source: RNAcentral